CCAGCUCCCUCCUAUCACAUCCAGUCCCUGCAAACCAGGAAAAAAGAUCAUAUACAAUUGUGGAAUGGGUUGUAUUGCCUUGCAAGACUUGGAAACUACAGCCUCACCUUUCAAAAGGCUCUUCUCUUCUUGAGGAAUGUAACAAAAGUGGGCAAUCAGAAAGCUGAGUACCCGCCAGCCCUAGGGUGAUGGGUGAAAUACUGCAGAGUAAGGAAAGGGCUGGCAGACAGGAAAGAAGACCUGCAGGAGACAAAUCUUUUCUGGAGAGGUAGCUCAUUGCUAGGCUGGAUACAAGAACAUGAUGAAUAUGAAAGCAUUUUUUGUAUGGAAAAAAAAAUUGAAGAUGUUAUCCUAUCCCUGAGAAUCUGAAGACUGUGUUUUAUGCACCUUGAUCCUGACAGGUGGAAAGCUGAAGGAGAUCCCAAGCAAGUAGUCUAUAGAAAUUCUCAUUUUAAGUGCCUUUAUUCUACCCAAAAUGUAUAUUAUGCAUCCAAAGGCUUUCUGUUUUGUUUUCUUGUUGUUUUGUAGCAGUUUUCUUACAGUUUAUCUGCACUCUACAAGACAAAUCCUUCAGAGUCCCAGAUGGGAAGGAUGAGCUCUGCUUCAGAUCAUGUUCUUCUGGGACUACUUGCCAAUCCUAGGAGUUUCACCAUGGCACGAGGAAGCUUGAUUUGACUUUUGUGUUAUUUUUGGUCAUUCUGAUAGGGUCUUGGCAUUUGAGUUAUGGCGCUGUUGGGGUCUCCGUGCCUAGUCAAAUACAGAAAAUUCACUCUAGCCAUUGCUUCUGGGGAGACAUUUUCAUUCAAUAAUGUUUUCUUGUCUAUGCCAACCAUAUGCAGGUUCCUCAAACCAUAUCAUUUUGACUUCAGGUUUUGUACAAAAUGAGGAUGUUCACACAACACAAAGAGACCUGAACACUUGCUGUUAAGAGAUCUUUGUAAGCCGAAACCCAAGCACUCAGCCUUUUGAAAGGCAUCACCUUCAUCCUAGUUUCAUCAGGCCCUGUUCAAUCUCCCUGUUGAUUUCUUUCACUCACCAUACAAAUAGUGCUGAUGGGAGCAUGCUUGAUCAGCACAGGCGUUGCAGCACUAAUUGGCUAUUAAGCUUUGUGCAGGUGCAUUACUGGGAAGCACUUACUGCCUACCUAAAUGACUAUUAGCUACUAGUGUAUCCUCUAAGCUCUACUCAUUCCCUAGCAUAAGGGUCUAAUCUCAAAACUACCACUAGUCAAGAGGUGGAAGAAUGCACAGUUCCUUACAUUCAUGGCAGUUGCUUCUAUGCUGUCCGAUAGAACAGGCAUAUGGACUUCAGCAUCUGCCAGUGCAAGGCUAUGAGAAUUCAAGGGGAGUGUCCUAUUGUGUAACACCUAGGUCAACACAGCACAGAGCGCUCCAGCCCUUUGCUCCCCAAAGGGAAUCACAGUAGUGCAGCAUACCUGCCCUGGACACAGCUCUGAUCACACUCGGCCUUGCAGCCUGCUCUGCCAUCCAAGGCAGCCAGCCACUCACUGACCUCUUUCUGCCCACUUCAGGGAAUGAAGGCUGGCACUGUACAUGGGGCUGUUGCCAGCAUGUGAUAAUACAACCAUAAACAUAAGCUAGGACUAGGACAGAUGUUAAUGCUACUGUAGCUGGGCACAAGGCCAAAAGCAACAGUCCCAAAGCUGAUGGUGCCUGAACAAGUUUUCUUACUGGGAGGUUAACAUGUCUUCUAAUUGGGGAACUGUACAGAAGACCAUUUUGGCACAGUGGAUUACUUGAACUGUGGUUAUGUGCUGGUACUGCACUCGUUUCAGGAACCCUAAAGUCACUUGCCAGAAGCAGUUUUUAUUCUCAAGGAGACAGUGCUUUACAACUCCCAUUGCAUCAGAAGUCCCACUGGCUUGGGCCCAGUCACCAGUGGAUCACAUUCUAUACAGGUACAGUAUGGGUUUCAACUUCCAAAUGUUGUCUUAUAGCUAAGGUGACACAUACAACACAUUUACAGAUUUGAAGAUGAUUCUUAGUUCAGAGGACCUAAGGCAUGUGCUUUUUCCCUUAAAAGAAUAUUACAAUAUUAUAUUUUUACAACUUAGUUAUUUGAUAACUAAACUUUGAUGCAUGACUACA
Molecule: long non-coding RNA, 2108 nt
Organism: Dromaius novaehollandiae (emu)
Lineage: Eukaryota; Metazoa; Chordata; Aves; Casuariiformes; Dromaiidae
Exons: 3
Source: RefSeq, a predicted model, not a curated record